GGAGAGAUGGUAGAGUGGUCGAUUACAACGGUCUUGAAAACCGUCGUACCGAGAGGUACCGGGGGGUUCGAAUCCCUCUCUCUCCG
Molecule: transfer RNA, 86 nt
Filed under: Segatella baroniae B14
Lineage: Bacteria; Pseudomonadati; Bacteroidota; Bacteroidia; Bacteroidales; Prevotellaceae
Description: Prevotella bryantii B14 tRNA
Rfam family: tRNA
About the family: Transfer RNA (tRNA) molecules are approximately 80 nucleotides in length. Their secondary structure includes four short double-helical elements and three loops (D, anti-codon, and T loops). Further hydrogen bonds mediate the characteristic L-shaped molecular structure. tRNAs have two regions of fundamental functional importance: the anti-codon, which is responsible for specific mRNA codon recognition, and the 3' end, to which the tRNAs corresponding amino acid is attached (by aminoacyl-tRNA synthetases). tRNAs cope with the degeneracy of the genetic code in two manners: having more than one tRNA (with a specific anti-codon) for a particular amino acid; and 'wobble' base-pairing, i.e. permitting non-standard base-pairing at the 3rd anti-codon position.
Source: Rfam by way of RNAcentral